Molecule: long non-coding RNA, 215 nt
Filed under: Homo sapiens (human)
Lineage: Eukaryota; Metazoa; Chordata; Mammalia; Primates; Hominidae
Description: HSALNT0325066
Source: RNAcentral
GCAUCUUUCACGCCAAACUCUUUUGAAAACUUUCCACACCCAUGCCCCUGUUCCCUGCUGCUAGCCUGCUGUUCAAGAAAGUGUUUUUAUAUUUACUCUUCUUCUGUAUAUGGUGUGAAAGGAAAAUAAAUCUCAGGACCCCCAAAUCACUAAGCCAAAUGAAAAAGUCAAGGUGGGAAUUGCAUCAGACAAUUUGCCUCACAUUUUAUUCCUAA